RNAcentral lists this ribosomal RNA (921 nucleotides) under Centropyxis aerophila. RNAcentral describes it as "SSU rRNA". It matches the Rfam family "Eukaryotic small subunit ribosomal RNA", at positions 945 to 1759 of the family's 1831-position model. Lineage: Eukaryota; Tubulinea; Elardia; Arcellinida; Centropyxidae. The record is from RNAcentral.
GCGAAGCAUUGAACAAGGAUGUUUUCAUUAAUCAAGAACGAAAGUUGGGGGAUCGAAGAUGAUCAGAUACCGUCGUAGUCCUAACCGUAAACUAUGUCGACUAAAGAUUAGUUAAAGUCUAUUGAAUAAAUGACUUUACUAGUAUUAUAACGAGAAAUCUCAAGUUUUCGGAUUCCGGGGGGAGUAUGGUCGCAAGGCUGAAACUUAAAGGAAUUGACGGAAGGGCACCACCAGGAGUGGAACCUGCGGCUCAAUUGGACUCAACGCCGGGAAACUCACCAGGUCCGGACACAAGAAGGAUUGACAGAUUGAUAGUUCUUUCUUGAUUUUGUGUAAAGUGGUGCAUGGCCGUUUUUAGUUGGUGGAUUGAUUUGUCUGGUUUAUUCCGUUAACGAACGAGACCUUAACUUAUUAAAUAGUAACCUAAACAACACAUUUAAAUAAAAAUGGUACUUAUGUAUCAUUUUUAAAUAAUUAGGCUUUAAUACUUCUUAAAAGGACAUUUCAUGUUUAAUGAAAGGAAGAUUGAGGCAACAACAGGUCUGUGAUGCCCUUCGAUGUUCUGGGCUGCACGCGUGUUACAAUGUUAUAAACAACGAGUUUUAAAGAUCCUAACCUGAAAAAGGUAGAGGUAAUCUUUUAAAACUAUAACAUGAUUGGGAUAGAUCCUUGUAAUUAUUGGUCUUGAACGAGGAAUUCCUAGUAAAUAUAAGUAAUCAUCUUAUGUUGAUUACGUCCCUGCCCUUUGUACACACCGCCCGUCGCUCCUACCGAUUGAAUGUCAAGGUGAGGAUUUAGGAUGUAGAGUUUGAAUAAAAUAAAAAAUUUGGAAAUAAGAAUUUAUUCUUAUGGAAGAAUUUUUUUUUAUUCUAAAGAUCUUGACCAAUCGGAAAAAAUCUAUGCUUUAUUCUAAAAUUUAUC